This is a long non-coding RNA of Gallus gallus (chicken), 1782 nucleotides long. RefSeq lists it as uncharacterized. The transcript has 3 exons. The record is from RefSeq and is a predicted model, not a curated record. NCBI's taxonomy places the organism in Eukaryota, Metazoa, Chordata, Aves, Galliformes, Phasianidae.
ACAGCAAGCACAGCUUUCUGUGGGCCUUGCUGCGUGCCUGCAAAGCAAAUUUCUACAGCAGUUAUGUAGUUGAGUAAAUUUUUUUUAAUGAAAUGCUUAUGAGAUGUGAUUUAACAGUGCUGACAUUGAAAAAUAGCUCCUGUUCUUUCCCUUGUUUUAUGUAAGUGGGAGUUUUAAGGCAGAUAUGUUUUUGCAUGGUGUAGCCUUUUUUUUUUCUUUAUUGGUCAUUUCUUAACCAGGACUCAUGUGUCCCUAUCUCUUAAGAGGUCCAGAGUCUUGGAAAGUCCACAGUACUUUGAAAGCUUGAUGUUUCCUUACUGCCACCAAAGGAGUGUAGGAAAAAUCUGAAAUCCCCCAGAUUGGAAAAUAUCCUGUGAAUACACAUUUUUCUGACUGCUCCAUGUCAUCAGAUGUCUUUAUCUUCAGCUGCAGUUCUCUGAGAGAUACUGGGGUAUGCAGGAUGCAGAAGAAGGUCUUAGUUUCACUGCACAGUUUGACAGGCUGUAACCUCUUCCAAGAAGAUGCCUUUUGCUCAGAGUUUGCAUAUCACAUUAGGGUCACUGACCUGACUGAUGCCUCCAGGAUGAACUCAUCUCCUGGCAACGUCCUUUAGAGAAGGGGGACCUGAAUGAGUAGAAGCGAGAACCAGGAGGACUCUCCCAUCCCCCUGAAUUUCAGUCACUCCUGUCUCUCUGUCUUAAUGAUACAAAGAAAUUCUAAUUAAUAACUGUGUAACAUUUUGACAGCAAAAUAAGGGAUCUUUGUAAAGCUCUCCUGUGGUUCUGAACUCAUUUUCAUGCCAAAAUAUCUGUCUUUCAGAAAAGAAAGAUGCCAAGGAGCUUCAGCUCUGUUGUCUUGUCAGAUACCUUGCUCCUGCUCCGUGAGGGUGAUUUCAUAAGAAGUUUCAUCUUUGUUAUUUAUUUAUUUAUUUUACCUUAAUGAAGAUGAUUGUAUGACAAAGGGGAGGAAGAUAGUGGUGUGUGGGUAGAAAGGAAAAUGUAGGAAAUUGAGAAAAUGUCAGCUCUCUCAAUUUUUCACAUACACACAGAAAUUUUGCACUUCACAAACACUCCAUAAUUAUGGAGAGAUUUUGUAACAUAAAAAUAAACCCUUUAAUUAUAUGUAGUGCUGGCUGCAGAUAAUGAUGGGGAUUUAGCUGGGAAUGGAUUAAAGGGAUGUGAACAUAUUUUUCAUUCUGGCACUGGUGCUUUUUCCCCUCUAAACCAUUAGGAUGAAGUAGGAGGCACAAAUGGAGCAAAGAUCCCAUCAGUAUUCAUCUUCAAAUCUGGGCAGAGAACUCUCUCCCCUCCAAAUGUCCUUCUCAUGCAACUACUGCAGAGUGCAUGUGCAGCUUUGUUUGUAGCCAUUUAAUGCAAGUGUGUCAGAACAGGACAGCACUAUGCAUAGGACCAAAUGUUUGUUGUCACUUAAUAUCUGCUCCCAAUGUGAUGCUGCCAUUGCAGGUGGAAGAUCUGAAGAGGAAAAACAACAAAAGGCCUGUGAUGGCAAGAGUAAAUGCAGUGGAUAAUUGAUUCUGCUGAGCUUGCAGAAUAAUUUGUGGAGCAGAAAAAGGCACAAAUACAUUUUCCAGGACCCAGUGCAAGCUGGGACUGAUUCUCUCACUUCUAUUUUUACAUCAGGAUGACAUAGCUGAUUUCAAUUAAGCACAAGCUUAAUUCUGCAUUUAGUAACCAGGCUCAUUCAAACAUCCUCUUCACCUGGAAAUGUGCUGGAAACUGCUGAGAGCAGAGAGAAGAAGAACCUUUCUCACUGCUUCUGAAG